This 100-nucleotide unclassified non-coding RNA is filed under the name Sorangium cellulosum So ce56. RNAcentral's name for it is "sce_SRP_bact_3". Lineage: Bacteria; Pseudomonadati; Myxococcota; Polyangiales; Polyangiaceae. The record is from RNAcentral.
CCGCUGGCCGGCGCGCCGGCCCGACCGGGGUUGCCGGCCUGACCGAGGUUGCGCCCUCCGGCCUGACGGCCGGCCUGACCGAGGUUGCGCCCUCCGGCCU